GUCUUCAGAGCCUGCAGGACUUUGGGCACAUUUUCUGGGGUAAGCAGGUCUUCUUGACUAUAGUCUUCAAAUUUUUCUGGUGGUGCCUUGAACUAUAAUUCUGGCUGUCAUAAUGAUGCCCCAGGCUCUUGCAGUGUAGAAGACAAGAACACUGUUGAUCUCCAUGCCAAAGGGGUGGCUUCCUUGCUUAUAACAACUCAUUCCAGAAGUUAAGCAGGGCUCAUUACCAUGGGACCAGUGUAGAUCAUUCCAUCUUCUGUAGACUGUCCAUGGAGCUGGCUUGAGAAGCCUGUACCAGAGUCACCUGUGUUGUCCCCUUCAGAAAAGCCACUGAGGUGCUAAGAGGCACUGGGGGUGCCAUGCAGUAGGCACAUCUGGUCUGUCAUAGUUAAUGCUGCAUUCAGACCCUUAGGCCAUGUGAAUCCAUGAUGAUGUCUUGAAGAGCUGCUUGGAUACCUUUGCUUCAGCCCCUGCAUCUACCCUGAUCAUUUGCUCUCCAUUUCCCGUGCCAG
This 512-nucleotide long non-coding RNA is filed under the name Athene cunicularia (burrowing owl). RNAcentral describes it as "lncRNA (ENSACUG00000001514.1)". The record is from RNAcentral. Lineage: Eukaryota; Metazoa; Chordata; Aves; Strigiformes; Strigidae.